This 875-nucleotide ribosomal RNA is filed under the name uncultured Nitrososphaerota archaeon. RNAcentral's name for it is "bacterial SSU rRNA". It matches the Rfam family "Archaeal small subunit ribosomal RNA", at positions 21 to 903 of the family's 1478-position model. Lineage: Archaea; Thermoproteati; Nitrososphaerota. The record is from RNAcentral.
CCUGACUGCUAUCGGAUUGAUACUAAGCCAUGCGAGUCAUUGUAGCAAUACAAGGCAGACGGCUCAGUAACGCGUAGUCAAUCUACCCUAUGGACGGGAAUAACCUCGGGAAACUGAGUAUAAUGCCCGAUAGAACACUAUGCCUGGAAUGGUUUGUGUUCCAAAUGAUUUAUCGCCGUAGGAUGGGACUGCGGCCUAUCAGUUUGUUGGUGAGGUAGUGGCCCACCAAGACUAUUACAGGUACGGGCUCUGAGAGGAGUGGCCCGGAGAUGGGUACUGAGACACGGACCCAGGCCCUAUGGGGCGCAGCAGGCGAGAAAACUUUGCAAUGUGCGAAAGCACGACAAGGUUAAUCCGAGUGGUUUCUGCUAAAGGAACCUUUUGACAGUCCUAAAAACACUGUUGAAUAAGGGGUGGGCAAGUUCUGGUGUCAGCCGCCGCGGUAAAACCAGCACCUCAAGUGGUCAGGAUGAUUAUUGGGCCUAAAGCAUCCGUAGCCGGCUCUGUAAGUUUUCGGUUAAAUCUGUACGCUUAACGUACAGGCUGCUGGGAAUACUGCAGGGCUAGGGAGUGGGAGAGGUAGACGGUACUCAGGAGGAAGUGGUAAAAUGCUUUGAUCUCCUGAUGACCACCUGUGGCGAAGGCGGUCUACCAGAACACGUCCGACGGUGAGGGAUGAAAGCUGGGGGAGCAAACCGGAUUAGAUACCCGGGUAGUCCCAGCCGUAAACUAUGCAAACUCAGUGAUGCAUUGGCUUAUGGCCAGUGCAGUGUUGCAGGGAAGCCGUUAAGUUUGCCGCCUGGGAAGUACGUACGCAAGUAUGAAACUUAAAGGAAUUGGCGGGGGAGCACCACAAGGGGUGAAGCCUGCGGUUC